GAAAUCAUUGAAUUGUAUUUAUGAUCAAGCCAAAGCGUGGACGUAUGCUAGUAUUUGACUCCGCUGAUUUCGAUCCGAAGACUUAUCAGGAAUUCGAGGGCAUCCUCAACAUGUUUUAGAACACCCCGAAAAAAAUAUGGUGAUGCGCACACACUAUCCAUGCCACAAGCAACCUACAGGUUCUGUGUACUGUGGAUACUACGUGUGCGAGCACGCGGGAGGUACACAAAAGAUCCCGAACUGGAUCAACGGCCACUCCACAAUGGUCCACUCCAUGAGCAACAACUUCUUUUUAUAGUCGACGAUUUAUGUCACUUCAUUUUGCAUGAAGUGGUCCAUAUAGGUGGAGAAUUUGUUCACCCUGAGCAUGAAUUAUCACUCGACCCAAAAUAUGCAAGCCUCCGUCAGUGGGAAAAUCAAGAACUUCGGGCCGGCUCUACUAGCGUUUCUCAAUGUAAAUGAUGUCUGUACUCUAUGCACUUUUAUGAUGGAUGUAAUCUAAUUAUGCAUGUAAUGAUACUUUUAUAUGAUUUUAUGUUGAAUUUUUAAUUAGUGAUGUUUACGAAAUAUAUUCAUCAUC
Molecule: long non-coding RNA, 580 nt
Organism: Panicum virgatum (switchgrass)
Lineage: Eukaryota; Viridiplantae; Streptophyta; Magnoliopsida; Poales; Poaceae
Exons: 3
Source: RefSeq, a predicted model, not a curated record